This 224-nucleotide long non-coding RNA is filed under the name Eucalyptus grandis. RNAcentral's name for it is "long non-coding RNA (EGRA_LNC002708)". The record is from RNAcentral. Lineage: Eukaryota; Viridiplantae; Streptophyta; Magnoliopsida; Myrtales; Myrtaceae.
AAUUGGCAAAGAAACUGGGCAGAAUACUAACUCAAUUACCGAAAUGGAAGGAAGAAGAAACAGGAUUGGAAGAGGCCCAUUCUUCAGCAGGGACAAUUCCAUCGCACCGAAACAACGAACCAAGUGUUGAGGACAAAACAAACGGGCAUGAGAUGUACGGAUGAAGAAAAGUGAGGUGAGGGUUUGCGAGGUGAAAAGAAACUACCAUAAGGGUAGAUGAAAAC